CUGAAUUGAAUUUUCAUAAUCUAGAAAAUAUUAAACUGCAGGAAAGUUUUCCUUGUUCAGUCCAAGAGAGUUUUGGCUGAGGGUGUUGCCUAUGAAUAUUUUCCUUUAAGAGUUUUGUUCUUUCUCUUGGGGCAAUUCUGUUAUUGUAGUUUAGAUUAGCUAUUAACUUAUUUCAAUUUAGCUUAGAAGGAAAGAACAGUGCCCCCAUGGCAGUUUGCUUGGGUUGAACUGCUGCCCCUGCGUAUCUGAGCACCACAGGGCUUUUUCCACAUUAAAAUGGAAGAUCUGUCUGCAGUGAUGUGAGCACAGCAGACAGGAGCAGAUACCUCUGUGGUCUACAACAAGCAGGAAGUUUCGAAAUAAGGUCUCACCUGCAGACUUGUGAAGCCAGCAGAAAUGCACUGCAGGAAGGAUUCCAGUUUUAGAGUGCCUGAACCACCAGUGGAUGUUCCAGAGAAGCUCUUUGUCCUGAGUGCAGCAGUGAGCAGAGAGGGACUGAGUCAUGUGGACCAUGGGCAGGCUCCUGGGACCUGCUUGAAUCCUGAGCAUGGCAACCCUUUGAAACAAGGUAAGAUCCACGUCUAGGAAAACACUAAUUGCAAUCAAACUUUCAAGGGGCUCCUGGGUAGACUGAUAAUAUCACUGAAGCACUUGAAACCAGGCCAGCCACUUGCAAUAGCUGUAUUUCAAGUGCUAAGAGGAAGAAAUAGUAGUUAAUUAUAUUCUAAUGCAUAAUGUGUGGGAAAGGAAAAGGAAAGGAAAGAGGGAAGGGAAGGUGUGGGAAGGGAAG
Molecule: long non-coding RNA, 790 nt
Filed under: Parus major (Great Tit)
Lineage: Eukaryota; Metazoa; Chordata; Aves; Passeriformes; Paridae
Description: lncRNA (ENSPMJG00000011769.1)
Source: RNAcentral